AUUGAACGCUGGCGGCAUGCCUUACACAUGCAAGUCGAACGGCAGCACGGGGCAACCUGGUGGCGAGUGGCGAACGGGUGAGUAAUGCAUCGGAACGUGCCAUUGAGUGGGGGAUAACGUAGCGAAAGUUGCGCUAAUACCGCAUAUUCUGUGAGCAGGAAAGCAGGGGACCGCAAGGCCUUGCGCUCUUUGAGCGGCCGAUGUCAGAUUAGCUAGUUGGUGAGGUAAAGGCUUACCAAGGCGACGAUCUGUAGCGGGUCUGAGAGGAUGAUCCGCCACACUGGAACUGAGACACGGUCCAGACUCCUACGGGAGGCGGCAGUGGGGAAUAUUGGGCAAUGGGGGAAACCCUGACCCAGCCAUGCCGCGUGAGUGAUGAAGGCCUUCGGUCGUAAAGCUCUGUGGGGAGGGAAAAGCGGAUGUCCCGUGAACAAUGGGGUGUUGUGAUGGUACCUCCUUAGCAAGCACCGGCUAACUCUAGU
This 482-nucleotide ribosomal RNA is filed under the name uncultured bacterium. RNAcentral's name for it is "bacterial SSU rRNA". It matches the Rfam family "Bacterial small subunit ribosomal RNA", at positions 30 to 507 of the family's 1533-position model. The record is from RNAcentral.